RNAcentral lists this ribosomal RNA (309 nucleotides) under uncultured eukaryote. RNAcentral's name for it is "partial 18S ribosomal RNA". It matches the Rfam family "Eukaryotic small subunit ribosomal RNA", at positions 1470 to 1796 of the family's 1831-position model. The record is from RNAcentral.
CCCUUAGAUGUUCUGGGCGGCCCGCGCACUACAAUGGCGUGUGCAGCGAGUGCCGAAGUAGAGUUUUCCGAGGUAUUCUUGCAAUGCUCGUUUUGAUGGGGAUAGACCCUUGCAACUGUUGGUUUUGAACGAGGAAUUCCUUGUAAGCAUGGUUUAUCAUCCGACGCUGAAUGCGUCCCUGCCCUUUGUAUACACCGCCCGUCGCUCCUACCGAUGAGUCGUCCGGUGAAGUUCGUAGACCUCGUGAUCGCGGAUCACUGGGGGAAGCAAAAUGAACCUCGCGGUUUAGAGGAAGGAGAAGUCGUAACA